Molecule: long non-coding RNA, 4448 nt
Filed under: Phocoena sinus (vaquita)
Lineage: Eukaryota; Metazoa; Chordata; Mammalia; Artiodactyla; Phocoenidae
Description: lncRNA (ENSPSNG00000004170.1)
Source: RNAcentral
GGGUUUGGGCCGGAGAGAGGCCUUGUAGGUACAGACGCUGAGGCUCGGUCGGCUCCGAGAAGGGCCUCUUUCGCGGGUGGGAGUCCGGGGUUCCGCGCCCGCCAACCCGCGCCUUGCCCCCUCCCAGCUCCCGGGCCGACGAAAUGACCAUUAAGAAGUAGAUGCCCAGAUGCCAAAGUAAUGAAACAGUCAAUUUGUCAUAAAGUAAGAUGCAGCUGUGGCUUUUCAACCAGAUUAGGACAAAAUUGUAUCUAUUUUUCUCAGAAGAGAAUUCCACAAGGUAAGACAUUGUUAAUAUAGUAAUAAAACACAUAUGGUUGAAUAUAGGCUUAAUUGCUCUGGCUUUUUUUUUCUUUUUAUCCUUUUCCCUUACUUAUUUCAUAUCUUUUCUGGAUUAUUACAAGAUUCUCACAAUUUGUUAGCUAUUCCUUUACUACCUCAGAAUUUGCUAGCAAGACACAAGUCAUCUUAUUUGAAGUUAGGAUUAAAAGGGUGUGAUUAAAGUAGUCACCUUGAAACUCAAAUACUGCUUUUCAUAGUCACAGCUUAUUCCUAGCAUCCUUAGGAGUGGGUUUGUCCAUUUUGAGAAAAAAGUUCUUUUCUUUCAUUGGGGCCCAUUUACCUUUUACUUCAAUGGAUAGUACUAUCUAAGUGACAUUAGGGAGUAGUGGGUUCAUAGAAGCUCUCUUAGAGGCUUUAAGUUAAAGGAGAUUAUUUUGCAAUGCUUCCACCUAUGGAAAUUGUGUAGCUCCUUAAUUUAGUUUAAAAAGUGGAAUACUUCCUACCAGCUAGAUAAUAAAAGAUUGAGUAACAGGUAGUAUUAAAGAAAAUAUCCUGAAUGAUCACCUUGACAAUGGAUUUUAAAUCAUCAUUGAUGUACAUUAUUAUUCUCUUUAAACUUUUGAAGGAUGAAAUGUUCAAGUGAGUAGAUAGUAAAAUUUCCUUAUCAGUUUGCCUACCCUAUGCCAGAUACUUAAAAUCAAUUGCUUGGCAGCAUUAAGAGCUUACUUUGGUUAAGUUUUCUCAGGAACUUUUGGCAUAGGUAGUAGUGGUCCUUGCAGAGUAAUUCAAUCUGUCAACUGGAAAUGCUUAUAAAGUGAAUUAUUCAGAUCAAUAACUUUCUUAUUUUUUCUCCUUUUUCAGUAUCCUAUGUCCUGAGGGUAACAUUCACCCUCAAACACAAUUUUUCCACCUGCUUUUGAAACUGCCACAGAUUUAGUUAAUCAAGUCAGUUUUUAUCCUGAUAACUGAAAAUAAAGCGUUAAAAUAAAGGGGACCCACUAGCUGGUAAGGAGGAAGGGAGAGCAAAUUUCCAAGUUUUCAUUUACAAAUUUCUCGUGAAACUCUUUUGCCCUAUUUUUUUCUUCUACUUAACAGGGGGUUAAGGGAGGGGAUCCUAGAACCUGUGUAUAGCACUAUCUGAUCUUCCAGGGCACUACUCAAAGGCAUUACUUCAGGAGAAAUCCAGAUCCUUCUUUUCCUGGACCACAAUGCUUAAAGUAAAAACAAAAACUUCAAAAAAUUUAAUCUUAGUGAACUUGAUCUGUUACAUCUUUGUCACUGUUCUUUUGGCAAAUAAAAUGUAAAUCUCAGACAUCAGUACAAUGUAUGUUAUGAUACAAUGAUGAUGAAUUAUAUUGUCUGUACCCUUAGGGUUCCCCUGUACCUGUUCAAUAAAUAUAUAUUUUUGUACAUACCAGGUGCUUUCAUAAUUUUUUUAGAGUAGAAAAUAAUCUAAAAAAGAUUAUUCAUGUUUAUAUAGUAUUACCCUGCUACACAGUUAAAGGUAUUAAAGGGACAAUGACAACUUAAAUUAUUGUUAACCCUACACUUAAAAAUGGCUGAAAUGGUAAAUUUUAUGUUAUGUAUAUUUUAUCACAAUUUUAAAAAUUACUGUUUAAAAUUUGGGGCAGCUUUGUUUGUUAUGAAAGAGGAUGGCUUUGUCUGAAGUACCAGUUUGUUGUUGUUGUUUUUACCUCUGUCAAGAGGCCCUCUCCUGCCACUAUUCUUCUAGGUCCCAGUAGCCACACUUCCCUUUACCCUUUGGACUGUGAGGUGGUAGCAGCUCUAGCUCUCCACUGUUGCUAAGCUGGGGGAAUUCCCCCUUAACCCUACCAUAGUUGUGUAAUACAGGUUUAACUUCUGGUAUCCACUAUUGACAGUUCAAAGACAAAGGAGUAAAGAAAUGCAGAGAAUUUCAUGUUAACUAGUCCAAAAUUGUAUCUCAAAACAUGUUGCUGCUUAUGAGACACAAUGUAAUUUAGAUGCAUGCAGAAUUUAAAAUGCACAAAAUUUGCAUCUUUUUAUACUAGCUAUUGUACCUUGUUUUGGAGUGCCAUUUAAAAAGAAAAAUAUCAAGCUGAGAGUUGAAGAAAAAGUAAUCCUUACAAAAUACUACUAUACUCAAAUGGGAACAUGGCCUGAAGUGUCAGGGUGAUGAUAAGGUCCCACAGACAACCAUGGAUUUAAAUAAAGCAGAAAGAAUUCCAUAGAUGGGAGAAAGGCCAGGUAUCUAAACAGUCACAUGAUUAUCUUCUCCAAUAUUGAAGUACCAGUUUUUAACCUCAAGUACAGGCGUAUUGAGUUAAUGAUAUUCCUCAGUUUGUGUCAUACCCAUUUAUCACUGGUUCGUUAAAGGACUGUUCUUCCAUUUUCUUUUAUAACUAGUCCCUAUACAAAUGACCUUUAAAUGUGUUUGGUGUGUAUCGUUUUGUUUAUAUCUUAUAAAAGGUUUUGUUAUUUUAUGUGCCUGUGUUUUAAUUAUACAUUAGGUCUUAAUCUAAUUCUUAUAGUCCCCUCCAUCCUCCUCUGUCUUAUUUUUUUCUAAGAUCUGGCCAUGUUGCUGAGUGUUCUUCUAAUUUGUUUUGUCCAUCUGGUACAUUGUAUUCCAGGUUGUUUAUUAAAACGAAGCUAUUAAAUGUAAAAUUUCUUAAAUGUGUAAGGCACAUAAAAUGAGCAUUUAAGAAAAGGUCAAUUUGUGCUUAUUUCUUAAUAUUAGAAUUGAAGUUGAGGAAUGCGAAUUAGAUUCUGUGGAAGAUUAGAGGAAAUAUAAACAUCUGUUUAGAAGGCUGUCUAUCUAGGAGUCUGUUAGAACAGUCAAAGAAAAGAACUGUAGGGCCUAACAAAAACAUAUUUUUUGUCUAGAAACAAUAUAUUAAAAUGCUUAGGUCUCAGUGUUAGCUGGUAAAAAGCCUUAUGGUAGAAAGAUAAUACCAGUAAUGUUAAUAGAACCUCCCCAUUAUCUGUUGCUUGUUAAUUUCUCCAUUAAAUUAUAUAUGAACGUUCAUCUUAUUUCUUUCUAUUACUUCACUGAAGCAGAAUCAUGUUCUGUGAAUUUCCAUCACUGAAUCUAACACAGAGUAAGAACAGUACAAAUGCAAGAUUCUAAAUUUGGGAUGCAGAAAGACAGUUUCAUCUAUGGUAAGCACAGUAUCAGCAGAAGUAACUUCUCUUGGAUCCCCUAACUAGAAAUUGUCAGAAAGUGGGAACUUUAGAAUGUCCAAGUCUGUGGUGGUGAUAUGCCUUGUAGUCAAGAAGAGGGGAGAGGGGAAAACUCCUAGGAGAGGAUAAAGUGGGCCCUGACAUUACAUUAAGGAGGAUAAUGACAGCACUGAUCAGAUCAGGGAUGGGCUUCUAUCAGGUCGAAAAAGCUAACAAGGUACUUUCUGGGAGCAGUUUCUUUUUGUGGAAGGAGGAUCUUAGGGGCACUUAGUUCUGGAGGCCAGGCAGACAUGUGGAACUGAUUCAGUAGUAGUGGAAUGGAAAAGGGUAAGGGAAUUCACAUUUGCUAAAAGCCAGUGUUGAGGCUUUUUGAAAGAAGUAGUUAUUUACAUGUCAACACUUAAGUAUUUGUAAAAUUUUUGCUGGGAAGACUGGACCCUCUUGAUACUGAUUUGGUAUCCCAUGCAUUGUUGAAUACUCCCCACUCUUUUUAAAAAUAACAAUUCAGGUAACAUAGUCCCUUUCUCUGAUUUCUUAAAUUUUUGAGUAUUUUGUAUGGCAUAAUAAUUUCAUGAUUUUUACUUGGUUAUGUUAACACAUGCCAUAAGUAGGACAGAUAGUAUUAUCAUUUUACAAAUGAGGAAACCAGUAGCAGAAUUAGCUUUAGAUUCUUUUUACUAAUCUACACUGCCACCCUAUCAAUGGAUAUUUUGCUCUAUAUAGAAGAUGUAAUUACAAGGAUAGUUUUAACAUGAAAGAAAUGUUUCUAACCAAAAAGAACCUCACAGCCUGAGAAGUUUAAAAAACACACAUACAGGGGCUUCCCUGGUGGCGCAGUGGUUGAGAGUCCGCCUGCCAAUGCGGGGGACGCAGGUUCUUGCCCCGGUCCAGGAGGAUCCCACGUGCCGCGGAGCGGCUGGGCCCGUGAGCCGUGGCCGCUGAGCCUGCGCGUCCGGGGACUGUGGUCCGCAACGGGAAAGGCCACAGCAGUGAGAGGCCUGCGUACC